Molecule: transfer RNA, 84 nt
Filed under: Lwoffella lincolnii
Lineage: Bacteria; Pseudomonadati; Pseudomonadota; Gammaproteobacteria; Moraxellales; Moraxellaceae
Description: Moraxella lincolnii tRNA
Rfam family: tRNA
About the family: Transfer RNA (tRNA) molecules are approximately 80 nucleotides in length. Their secondary structure includes four short double-helical elements and three loops (D, anti-codon, and T loops). Further hydrogen bonds mediate the characteristic L-shaped molecular structure. tRNAs have two regions of fundamental functional importance: the anti-codon, which is responsible for specific mRNA codon recognition, and the 3' end, to which the tRNAs corresponding amino acid is attached (by aminoacyl-tRNA synthetases). tRNAs cope with the degeneracy of the genetic code in two manners: having more than one tRNA (with a specific anti-codon) for a particular amino acid; and 'wobble' base-pairing, i.e. permitting non-standard base-pairing at the 3rd anti-codon position.
Source: Rfam by way of RNAcentral
GCCCGGGUGGUGAAAUUGGUAGACACAAGGGAUUUAAAAUCCCUCGAUAGCAAUAUCGUGCCGGUUCAAGUCCGGCUCCGGGUA